AUUGUCUUCUUCAUAACUACUCCUUCCGUUCAACAUCAUCACUGCUCAUCAGCAUCGAUCCUUCUCCACCGCACAUAUAUUCCCUCCGCUUGCGAUUCUUCAUCACGAUGUUCACCGCCAACCUUCACCCGCCUGUCCUCCUUCAUUCGAUCUCUAUCACCUUCUGCAACACAAAAACCGAGUUCUCCAUUUCGUGACCACCUAUCAACUCUCUCCGUCCCGACGUCGUCAACGUCCAGCAGCUGCCUCCGCUCUUCCACUCUUCUUCAUCGAAUCUUCAGCCAAUAA
Molecule: non-coding RNA, 288 nt
Organism: Vicia faba (fava bean)
Lineage: Eukaryota; Viridiplantae; Streptophyta; Magnoliopsida; Fabales; Fabaceae
Source: the annotation of a GenBank genome assembly